This 283-nucleotide ribosomal RNA is filed under the name Astronotus ocellatus (oscar). Its description in RNAcentral is "partial 12S ribosomal RNA". Lineage: Eukaryota; Metazoa; Chordata; Actinopteri; Cichliformes; Cichlidae. The record is from RNAcentral.
GGUUUACGACCUCGAUGUUGGAUCAGGAUUAGACCCACCUAGAGGAGCCUGUUCUAGAACCGAUAACCCCCGUUAAACCUCACCCNNUCUCUUNGUCAUUNUCCGCCUAUAUACCGCCGUCGUCAGCUUACCCUGUGAAGGAACUAUAGUAAGCAAAACUAGUAANAACCCAAANNACGCCAGGUCGAGNGUGUAGCUANUGGAAGGGAAGAAAUGGGCUACAUUCCCUACCCNCAGGGNAACACGAAAAUAUGAUGAAAGNAACAUUAGAAGGAGGAUUUAG